This 92-nucleotide transfer RNA is filed under the name Hyphomicrobiales bacterium. RNAcentral describes it as "Rhizobiales bacterium tRNA-Ser". It matches the Rfam family "tRNA". From Rfam's summary of the family: Transfer RNA (tRNA) molecules are approximately 80 nucleotides in length. Their secondary structure includes four short double-helical elements and three loops (D, anti-codon, and T loops). Further hydrogen bonds mediate the characteristic L-shaped molecular structure. tRNAs have two regions of fundamental functional importance: the anti-codon, which is responsible for specific mRNA codon recognition, and the 3' end, to which the tRNAs corresponding amino acid is attached (by aminoacyl-tRNA synthetases). tRNAs cope with the degeneracy of the genetic code in two manners: having more than one tRNA (with a specific anti-codon) for a particular amino acid; and 'wobble' base-pairing, i.e. permitting non-standard base-pairing at the 3rd anti-codon position. Lineage: Bacteria; Pseudomonadati; Pseudomonadota; Alphaproteobacteria; Hyphomicrobiales. The record is from RNAcentral.
GGAAGAAUGGCAGAGUCAGGUUUAAUGCACCGGUUUUGAAAAUCGGCGAGGCCUUAAGGCUUCCACAGGUUCGAAUCCUGUUUCUUCCGCCA